Molecule: ribosomal RNA, 163 nt
Filed under: Diospyros rhodocalyx
Lineage: Eukaryota; Viridiplantae; Streptophyta; Magnoliopsida; Ericales; Ebenaceae
Also listed under: 1 other name
Description: 5.8S ribosomal RNA
Rfam family: 5.8S ribosomal RNA
About the family: 5.8S ribosomal RNA (5.8S rRNA) is a component of the large subunit of the eukaryotic ribosome. It is transcribed by RNA polymerase I as part of the 45S precursor that also contains 18S and 28S rRNA.
Source: RNAcentral
AAACGACUCUCGGCAACGGAUAUCUCGGCUCUCGCAUCGAUGAAGAACGUAGCGAAAUGCGAUACUUGGUGUGAAUUGCAGAAUCCCGUGAACCAUCGAGUCUUUGAACGCAAGUUGCGCCUGAAGCCACACGGCCGAGGGCACGUCUGCCUGGGCGUCACGC